Molecule: transfer RNA, 83 nt
Filed under: Gemmatimonadota bacterium
Lineage: Bacteria; Pseudomonadati; Gemmatimonadota
Also listed under: 2 other names
Description: Gemmatimonadetes bacterium tRNA-Ser
Rfam family: tRNA
About the family: Transfer RNA (tRNA) molecules are approximately 80 nucleotides in length. Their secondary structure includes four short double-helical elements and three loops (D, anti-codon, and T loops).
Source: RNAcentral
GGAGCCGUCGCAUAAUUGGUAUUGCACCGGUCUCGAAAACCGGCGCCCGAAAGGGCUUGUGGGUUCGAGUCCCACCGGCUCCG